AUGUUCUAUUACGGGCUAGAUUUUCACGACCUGGCUCCGGACUCCUUUCUUCACAUCUUGGCAUUCAUUGUCAUGUGCAAGGCCUUUCUCCGCAUUCCCCCACACUUCGGCUUAUGGCUCAAGACCUUUAAUGUGAAGCCGAAGGUAGUCGACGGGGAGCAAGCGGAGUGUGGCGGCGCUAUGCUGAGCAAGCUCGCCAAUACUCUUUGGCCAAAGGGCUCCUUCACGGAAACACCCAACCUAUGGAAGCGGGAGUGGUUUUACAUCACCGAACCCCGUGGUACCAAUUGGGCAGCUACACAUGCGUUCGGAUCUGGCCCUCCAUUACGACUCGCAUCAUGGAUUAAUAAGGGGCUGGACUGGGGAUCGAUUGAUGAAGUGCAAAUGCUACAAAGCCGUAUCCGGAGCCUCCUUGAAAAGGACACCGGCCUCAUCAACGUGAUCUAG
Molecule: ribosomal RNA, 447 nt
Filed under: Triticum aestivum (bread wheat)
Lineage: Eukaryota; Viridiplantae; Streptophyta; Magnoliopsida; Poales; Poaceae
Description: partial small subunit ribosomal RNA
Source: RNAcentral